This 228-nucleotide ribosomal RNA is filed under the name uncultured bacterium. RNAcentral describes it as "partial 16S ribosomal RNA". It matches the Rfam family "Bacterial small subunit ribosomal RNA", at positions 14 to 222 of the family's 1533-position model. The record is from RNAcentral.
GUAUCAUGGCUCAGGAUGAACGCUGGCGGCGUGCCUAACACAUGCAAGUCGAACGAAGAUGCAUUUCAGAUCCCUUCGGGGUGACGAGAUGCAGACUUAGUGGCGGACGGGUGAGUAAUGUAUGAGCAACCUGCCUUCAAGAGGGGAAUAACAGUCGGAAACGACUGCUAAUACCGCAUAAUAAAGCGUAGUCGCAUGACAAUGCUUUCAAAGGAGCAAUCCGCUUGG